CUCUUCCGUAGGUGAACCUGCGGAAGGAUCAUUAAUGAAUUUUAUGACAGGGUUGUUGCUGGCCCUUACUGGACAUGUGCACACUUUGUACAUUCCAAUUCUUACACCUCUGUGCACUUCUCAUAGAUUUAGUGUGGAAGAGAUCUUAUUGAUCUUGGAAACGCUGAAUCUGUGUUUUUACAAACGCUUUAUAUUAGAAUGUCAUCUGCGAAUAACGCAAUAAAUACAACUUUCACAACGGAUCUCUUGGCUCUCGCAUCGAUGAAGAACGCAGCGAAAUGCGAUAAGUAAUGUGAAUUGCAGAAUUCAGUGAAUCAUCGAAUCUUUGAACGCACCUUGCGCCCCUUGGUAUUCCGAGGGGCAUGCCUGUUUGAGUGUCAUGGUAUUCUCAAUACCCUACAUCUUUGCGGAUGAAGGUGUAUUGGAUUUGGAGGUUUAUGUUGGCUCUCUUGAGAGUCAGCUCCUCUUAAAUGUAUUAGCAGAGAUGUUACUGCUACUCUCCAGUGUGAUAAUUGUCUACACUGUUAGUAGUGCAGUAAAAAUUAAGUCUAUGCUUCUAAUCGUCUCCGGACAGUUUUUUGACAUCUGACCUCAAAUCAGGUAGGACUACCCGCUGAACUUAAGCAUAUCAAUAAGCGGAGGAA
Molecule: ribosomal RNA, 644 nt
Filed under: Pseudolagarobasidium sp. PSTF4
Lineage: Eukaryota; Fungi; Basidiomycota; Agaricomycetes; Polyporales; Cerrenaceae
Description: eukaryotic LSU rRNA
Rfam family: 5.8S ribosomal RNA (bases 228-380)
Source: RNAcentral